GGCGGCGUGCUUAACACAUGCAAGUCGAGCGGAAAGGCCCUUCGGGGGUACUCGAGCGGCGAACGGGUGAGUAACACGUGAGUAACCUGCCCCUGACUCUGGGAUAAGCCUGGGAAACUGGGUCUAAUACCGGAUAUGACUACUUCGGGCAUCCGAUGGUGGUGGAAAGUUUUUUCGGUUGGGGAUGGACUCGGGGCCUAUCAGCUUGUUGGUGGGGUAGUGGCCUACCAAGGCGACGACGGGUAGCCGGCCUGAGAGGGCGACCGGCCACACUGGGACUGAGACACGGCCCAGACUCCUACGGGAGGCAGCAGUGGGGAAUAUUGCGCAAUGGGCGAAAGCCUGAGCCAGCGACGCCGCGUGGGGGAUGACGGCCUUCGGGUUGUAAACCUCUUUCAGCAGGGACGAAGUUGACGUGUACCUGUAGAAGAAGCGCCGGCUAACUACGUGCCAGCAGCCGCGGUAAUACGUAGGGCGCAAGCGUUGUCCGGAAUUAUUGGGCGUAAAGAGCUCGUAGGUGGCUUGUCGCGUCUGCCGUGAAAGCUUAGGGCUUAACCCUAGGUCUGCGGUGGAUACGGGCAGGCUAGAGGCUGGUAGGGGCAAGCGGAAUUCCUGGUGUAGCGGUGAAAUGCGCAGAUAUCAGGAGGAACACCGGUGGCGAAGGCGGCUUGCUGGGCCAGUUCUGACGCUGAGGAGCGAAAGCGUGGGGAGCGAACAGGAUUAGAUACCCUGGUAGUCCACGCUGUAAACGUUGGGCGCUAGGUGUGGGGUGCUUCCACGAGACCCGUGCCGUAGCUAACGCAUUAAGCGCCCCGCCUGGGGAGUACGGCCGC
This 833-nucleotide ribosomal RNA is filed under the name Microtetraspora sp. IM-7010. Its description in RNAcentral is "bacterial SSU rRNA". It matches the Rfam family "Bacterial small subunit ribosomal RNA", at positions 38 to 889 of the family's 1533-position model. Lineage: Bacteria; Bacillati; Actinomycetota; Actinomycetes; Streptosporangiales; Streptosporangiaceae. The record is from RNAcentral.